UUCUGCAGCCUCGGAGACCCGCGCCCAGCCCCGCCUCCGGGCUCGGUGACCCCAGCUCAGGAGACCCCAUCUAGCCGCCUCCUCUGGGCUCCGGGACCAUGGCCCCAGCCAGGCUUCCCGCCCCCUGCCAGGCCCUCCUCCCAGCUCGAAGACCCCAGCACAGCCCGCUCCUCCUGGCUCGGAAACACCCAGUCCCUCUGGGAGCUCUGAGACCCCCCCCCAGCCCGGCUGCCUCCUCUAGGUCCCGAUAACCCAAUCUCAGCGUUGCUCUUCAGCUCGGGGCCGCGGCGCCCCCUCCGCAGCACCGAACUGCCCCUCACACUGGUGUAGCCCCGACUCCGCCAUGAGAUCCCUCUGUUCUUCCUAGUGUGGUUUCGGUUUUCCUAGUCGCCCCCGAGUGCUAGAACCCGCUGGUGUCAAGAAGCAUUAAGGAGGUAAAAUCCUGCCCAGGCCCCACUGGGGUGUGGUUCUGUCUCUGGGACCCCAAAGCCUGCUGUGCUCUUGGCCUCCCAGCCUGCCUUGUCCCCACGUGCCUUCUCCCGGCCUGCCAUGGGCUUGGGGUGGGCUUCCUGCCGGGCAAGGUGCCCCUGGCUGGCUCAGUCUGGCCCUGAGGGCAAGGUCCCCUUCCCUCUCUUGCACCCAAGUCACCUGUGGCUUAUACUUCCCAUACAAAGAGGCUGAGAGGUCGGUGGGGUUGUAGGGCUAAGGUUGCCAGAGACCGUCUUCCUGGGCCAGAAGUGGGUGCCUCCCACCCCACCCCAAACCCAACUGAAAUCAAUCCAACCGCAGAGAGUGAAGAAAGGCUGCUCCCGUGGUGGGCCCAGGAGUCUCAUGCCUGUGUGCUGGGGAAGUUGGGGUGGGAGAUCUGUGGGGUUCUUUGGGCACCUGGGCAAGGCUCUGCCGCUCCGAGGCCUCCAGGAGAUGGAGCAGGCAGCUGAGAUCUGGGGCAUCCACCUCGGCCAGGCCCUGCAGGUCCCGUGCAGCCCCUGGCACGUCUCCCUUCUUGAGCCGGAGCAGGCCCAGCCGGGCCCGGGCUGCCUCUGACGUUGGGGCAGGGUGCAGGGCUUUUUCCAGGACCUGGCAUCCCGUGGGUGCCUGAGAAACAACGGCUGGAGGUGCAUGGACGAAUGAGGGGGCCAAGGGUCCAAGACCUGUUAAAGACCAAGGUCACCCCUUAGUUUCUCCUCCAUUGCAAGCAAAGAGCCAGUCGGGUAAAGCAGAGGAGAGCCUUUUGAACGCCAGGCCUCACACAGGGAGCAAGGCCAGAGGUCUCUUUCUUCCAUUUUUACAGAAAAGGAUACAGAGGUCAGAGGAGCAGGGACAGAAGCCCAGACCCUGUGUUUCCCACCUUGGGGCAGCCGCAUACCCCGUGCCAUGAGAAUGUCUGCCAGGAGGAGGUGCCAGUGCGGUUGCCCUGCGUCGAUUUUGAUCAGCGCCUCCCCCACAGCAAGGAGGCCCUGGGUGUCCUUGUCCUCGAGAGGUGCCCCGGUGUCCAGCAGCUGGCUCAGAAGGGCCCGGCAGCGGGAGUAGAGGCCCCGUGUGAUGAGGGCCUGGGCUUCCGGCUUCAGAGAGCGGAGCUCAGGGACCACGGUCCCGGGGCCGAGCUUCAGAGCAGAGACCAUGUCGUCCACGGCUUCCUGCAAGGAGGGAGGGAGGGCGGGUGCAGAGUUGUCCUAGGUAGAGAGACUGGGCAGAGGGUCGGAGUAGGAGUGCUGGCUCUGUCUUUCUUAUUCCCUGAUCUUCUCCUUGGGGUCCUAGAGGGUCUGAACACCCAGUUUCCUGCCCCUUCCCGCUUCCCUAUGGCUGCAGCCUCCUACCAUCCCUCCUGAUUCUGGUUAGCAUUUGAGGGGACUCAGCUCACUGACCUUGACCCUGAAAGUUGUCAGGCUCAGAACCCCUUUUCUGAGGCCAAACGCUGCUAAUUUCCAUCUCCUGAGGCUGCCUGCGGUCUGCGAGCUCUCCCUGGGUCCCUCGCUCUCCCAGCUUGUAGCUGGCUCCCUCCACGCCUGUCCCUCCCUACAGGGGCAUCUGUCACCUCACGGUGGGAGACGCUGGAGCUCUGUGGGUAUCCGGGUGCUCCUCCCAGUGCCUGUGGCCUUGGGGACGCCGGAAGGGUAGAAAGCCCAGUUACUGCCCUCCCACAACUCCCAGAAGCAGUGGAAGGAGAGUGCCCAGCCCAUCUGGUGCACGAUCCAAGGCAGGACACCGGGUGGCAGCCAGUGGGGGCAGAGCAAUUGCCUUUCGGAUUACAACACGUAGCCUUACAGCUAUGAACAAGCCCCCAGGUCCCAGGAUCUGCUGUGGUACCGUUCACUGAUGACAAAUCUCUCAGCUUCCAUUUGUCUAACGGGUCUUUAAUGUCGCCCUCGUUUCUGAAGGAUGUUUGAACAAGAUGGAUAAUUUUGGUUUAUACAGCUGUCAAGAGCCUGGAAUGGCACCCCACAUCCCCAGGUGAAUGUGUGACAGCCUGAAACAGCAUUCUCCAACCCCAGAUGAGGAUCUGACAACCUGGAAUAGAACCCCACACCCACAGGUAAGCAUCUGACAGCCUGGAACAGCACCACACAAUCCCCGGUGAGCACAGGUGAGCAUCUGACAGCCUGGAAGGGCAUCCCACAAACCCAAGUGAGCAUCUGACAGCCUGGAAUGGCACCCACACCCACAGGUGAGUGUGGGACAGACUGGAGCAGCAUUCUCCAGCCCCAGGUGAACUUGUGACAAUCCAAAACAGAACCCCACACACCCAGGUGAGCAUCUGACAGCCAAGGAUGGCACCCCACACACCUAGGGGAGCGUCUUACAGCCUGGAACAGCACCCGACACCCCCAGGUGAAAAUCUUACAGCCUGGAACAGCACCCUCCAUCCCCAGGUGAGCAUCUUCCAGCCUGAAACAGCACCCCACACCCCCAGGUGAGUGUCUUACAGCCUGGAAUGGUAUCCACACCCACAGGCGAGUGUGUGACAGCCUAGAACAGCAUUCUCCAACUCCAGGUGAGCUUGUGACAAUCUGGAACAGGACCCCACAACCCCAGGUGAGCAUCUGACAGCCUAAAACAGCACCCUCCACCCUCAGGUUAUCAUUUGACAGCCAGGAAUGACAAUCCACAUAAGCAUCUGACAGCCUAGAACGGCACCCCCACACUUAGGUGAGAAUCUGAAUGCCUGGAUCUACGCUCAAACCUUCAGGUGAGCAUCUGACAGCCUGGAACAGCAGUGCCCACACCCAGGUGAGCAUCUGAAACCCUCCAGCAGCACUCACCACCCCAAGGUGAGCAUCUGACAGCCUGGAACAGCAGUGCCCACACCCAGGUGAGCAUCUGAAACCCUGAGCAGCACUCACCACCCCAAGGUGAGCAUUUGAGAGCCUGGAACAGCACCGUUCAUGUUCAGGUGAGCAUCUGAUAGUUUUAUUUUGUUUUGAGAUGGAGUCUCGCUCUGUCGCCCAGGGUAGAGGGCAGUGGUGUGAUCUUGGCUCACCGCAACCACCGCCUCCCAGGUUUAAUUGAUUCUCCUGCCUCAGCCUCCUGAGUAGCUGCGACUACAGGCUGAUUUUUGUAUUUUUAGUAGAGAUGGGGUUUCACCAUGUUGACCAGGCUGGUCUUGAACUCCUGGCCUCAGGUGAUCCACCCACCUCGGCCUCCCAAAGUGCUGGGAUUACAAGCACGAGUCACCGCACCUGGCCGAUCAUCCGACAGUUUUAAAUGGCAACUCACACCCUCAGGUGAGUAUCUGACAGCCUGGAAUUGCACUCUACAUUCCCAGGUGAGCUUCUGACAGCCUGGAACAGCGCCUCACACCCACAGGUGAGAAUCUGACAGCCUAGAUUGACACCCCGACCCCCAGGUGAGCAUCUGAAACCCUGGAUCAGCACUCCCCCAUGCAAGGUGAGCAUCUGACAGCCUGGAACAACACCCAUACCCCCAGAUGAGUAUGUGACAGCCUAGAACGGCAUUCUCCAACCCCAGGUGAGUAUGUGACAACCGGAAACAGGACCCCACACUUCCAGGUGAGGAUCUGACAGCGUAAAACAGCACCCUACACCCCCAGGUGAGCAUCUGUCAGCCUGAAACAGCACCCCCACCCACAGGUGAGAAUCUGAAAAUCGGAAACUGCAUUGCGCACCCCCAGGUGAGCAUCCGACAGCAUGGAUUAGCACCCCCACCCCCAGGUGAGCAUCUGACAACAUGGAACAGCACAUCCCCUCAGGUGAGCAUUUGACAGCCUGGAGUAGCACCCCACACCCCCAAGUGAGCACCUGACAGCCUGGAACAGCACCCACAAUACCAGGUGAGUAUGUGAUAGCCUGAAAUAGCAUUUUCUGACCACAGAUGAAUAUCUGACAACCUGGAGCAGCAAUUCACACCCCUGGAUGAACCUCUGACAGCCUGAAAUGGGACCCACACCCACAGGUGAGCAGCUGACAAACUCGAACAGCACCUCAUACAGUCAAACGAGCAUCAGACAGCCUGGAAUGGCACCCCAAACCCCCAGGUGAGGAUCUGACAACCUGGAAUAGAGCUUCACACCCGCAGGUGAGCAUCUGACAGGCUGGAACAGCAGACCCACCACACGUUCAGGGGAGAACCGUACAGCCUGGAAUGGCAUCCACACCCACAGGGGUCAUCUGAUAGCCAAGAAUGGCACCACUACCCUGAGGUGAGAAUCUGACAGCCUGGAUCAGCGCUUCGACCUUCAGGUGAGCAUCUGAAACCCUGGAUCAGCACUCCCCCAUGCAAGGUGAGCAUCUGACAGUCAGGAACAGCACUUCACACCCCCAGGUGAGCCUCUGACAGCCUGAAACCGGACCCACACCACAGGUGAGCAGCUGACAGACUAGAACAGCACCCCACACCAUCAAGCGAGCAUCAGACAGCCUGGAAUGGCACCCCAAACCCCCAUGUGAGCAUCACACAGUCCAAAAUGGCACCCUGAACCCCCAAAUAAGCAUCUGCUAGCCUGAAACAGCACUCCACACCUUCAGGAGGGCAUCUGACAGCCUAGAACGGUACCCCACACCCCCAGGUAACCAUCAGAAGGCCUGGAACGGCACCCCAAACCCCCAGGUGAGCAUCUUGCAGCCUGGGACAGUACCGUCCACCAGCAGGUGAGCACUUCACAGCCUAAAACUGCACCUCACAGGCCAAGGGUGAGCAUCUGACUGCCUGGAACGGCACUCACACCCCCAGGUGAAUGUGUGACAGCCUGAAACAGCAUUCUCCAGUCCCAGGUGAGUGUGGGACAGACUGGAGCAGCAUUCUCCAGCCCCAGGUGAACUUGUGACAAUCCGAAACAGAACCCCACACACCCCGGUGAGCAUCUGACAGCCAAGGAUGGCACCCCACACACCCAGAUGAGCAUCUGAUCACCAAGGACAGCACCCCACACACCCAGGUGAGCAUCUGACAGCCUAGAAUGGCACCACCACACUUAGGUGAGAAUCUGACAGCCUGGAUCAGCACUUCAACCUUCAGGUGAGUGUCUGAGAGCCUGGAACAGUACCCCACACCCCCAGGUGAGUAUCUGACAGCUUGGAACAUCACCCUGCACCCCAGGAGAGCAUCUGCCAGCCUGGGAAGGCACCCCAACACCCAGGUGAGCAUCUGAAACCCUAUAGCACCACCCCCCCACCAACCUUCAGAUGAUUAUCUGACAGCCUAGAGCAGCACCCUCCACCCCUAGAUGAGCAUCUCACAGCCGGGAAAACACCCUCCACCACCAGGUGAUCUUCGGACAGCCUGGAAUGGUACCACCACUUUGAUGAGCCUCUGACGGACUCAAACAACAAUCACACCUUCAGGUGAGCAGCUGAGAACCUAAGUCGGCACCCUGCACUCAGGGGAGCAUCUGAAAGCCUGAAGCAGCACCUUCCACCUCUGAGUGAGCAUCUGAUGGUCUGGAACAGCACCCACAGCCCCAGGUGAGCAUCUGACCACAUGGAAUGGCAUCCUCACCUCCAGAUGAGCAUCCGACAGCCUGGAACAGCAUUCUCCAACCCCAGGUGAGCAUCUGACAGCCUGGAACAGCAUCCACAAACCCAGGUGAGCAUCUGGCACCCGGAAAUGGCAGCACACACCCCCACGUGGGCAUCAGACAGCAUUGAAUGGCACCCCACAUCUCCACGUGAGCAUCUGACAGGCCGGAACAGAACCCCACAUCCCCACGUAAGCAUCUGACAGGCUGGAACAGAACCACACAUCCCCACGUGAGCAUCUGACGGGCUGGAAUGGCACCCCACACCCCCAGGUGAGCAUCUGUAAACCUGAAACAGCACCCUACAUGCGCAGGGGAGCAUCUGACAGCCUGGAACGGCUCCCCUACACCCAGGUGUGCAUCUGCCAGCCUGAAACAGGACCCUCCACCACCAGAUGAGCAUCUGACAACCGGAAACUGCACCACACACCCCAAGGUGGGCAUCCAAUGGCAUGGAACAGCACCCCCACCCACAAGUGAUCUGACUGCCUGGAACAGCACUUCCCCUCAGGUGAGCAUCUGACAGCCUGGAACAGAACCCCACAACUUCAAAUAAGAAUUUGACAAGUGGGAAAAAGCUCCCCGCCCUCAGGUGAGCAUCUGACAGCCUGGAACAGCAGCUUACAUCCCCUGAGGAGCAUCUGACGGUCUGGAACAGCACCCUAAAACUUCAGGUGAGGAUCUGACAGCCUGGAAGAGCAGUGCCUACCCCCCAGUUAGCAUCUGACAGCACACAGCAGCGCUCCCAAUGCCAAGGUGACCAUCUGGCAGUGUGAAACAGCACCCCACACCCCCAGAUGAGCAUCUGAAAGCCUACAACAAGCCCCUGCCCGAGAUGAGCAUCUCACAGCCUGGAACUCCACGCCCACUGCCAGGUGAGCAUCUGACAGCCUGGAACAGCACCACACAACCCCAGAUGAGAAUCUGACAGCCUGGAACAGCACCCCACACCCCAGGCAAAAAUCUGACAGCAUGCAACAAGACCACUGCCCCCAGGUGAACAUUGGACAGCCUGGAACAGAACCCCAGUUCUCCCAGUAAGCAUCUGAAAGCACGGAACAGCACCCUCACCCCCAGGGGAGCAUCUGACAACCUAGAACAGUACCCUCACCCCGAGGUGGGCAUCUGGCAGCAUAAAAUAGCACCCCUAUUGGCAGAUGAGCAUCUGACAGCCUGGAACAGCACCCCAUACCCCCAGGUGAGCAUCUGACUGCCUGGAAGAAGCACCCCUGCAUGUUACCCAUGGUGAAACCAAGGCUCAGAGACAGGACAGGGUUGUUGGCCGGGAGGAGGGGCCUGCUGCUGAGCCCCAGCACUGACUCAGAGCUCACAGCCUCGAGCCCGUGCCAUGCCUCCUCUCAGGGUGAAGAGGCAGAGGGUAUGGGGGAGGCGCAGCAUCAGCCCACAUCCUGGAUGCGCAAGUUCACAGGCAUGACGGGGCGAGGGGCUGCUGCUCCUACUGUCACUCCCACGUGCUAGCCCUCUGACGUCCUGGCUGACUUUCCCUGCCUCUGGUCCUGCGGCCCUGGACAGAGAGGGAGGAGGGGACAGGAUCCUGUGGUACCCCUUGGAGGAGGUUCUGGCACCUGUAGGCAGUUUCCAAGGAUCCCUUGUGGCCACAUCCAGCUGUUAAAUGGGCAUGUCCCUGGCAGCCACAGAUGUCUUUCCAGUGCAGGCAAGGGCAGGCAGAGAGCUGGCUCCCAGCCCCAAGUGCAUGUCUCCCUCCCUGGGGCCCAGGCUGGCAUGGAAGUCAGGCCUGCCAGUGGGCUUGGGGGAAACUUGGUGCCCUGGUCCAGCAGCCUGCCCUGCAGCAGCAAGCAUGGCCUCUGGAGGCUGUCGUCCUCCUGGCCUCUAGGAUUGCUUUUCCUUGCUUCCUAGAACUCCAGCCCUUAAGAAAAUCAGAAGCCCUGGCAGGCACAUUGCCUCUGUGCUGUGCUUUUACCCAGCGAAGCAUCAGGGCAGAUGGCCAAUUUCAACACUGCUCUUGGCUGGGAAGUGCCCUCGUCUCUGGCAGCCCCCACAGAGAAAGUGCAGGGCCCCAGGGCUGUGGCUGCCUCAGGGCAGGUCUCCCUUGUGACAGCCUUUUGUCAUGGGCCUGGGAGUGGACCCCUCCCAUCCCUGCCCUGCAUGCUGUUGAGUAGACAGCUCAGGCUAGUACCCAAGAGGGUGGCCAGCAGAUCACAGGGGAUGUCCCUUUUGUCUUGGCUGUUUAUGGGCUGGAGGAACCACUGUUCAGCCACAUCUCCUCUCCUGCCCCACCUGCAUUCCCCCGAGGUUGAUGGGAGCACUGUGGGGGGAGAUAGGCAGGGGAGGGGCCAGGCAGCACCUGGGCACAUCCCCAGGGUGCCUCCUCUGAUCCCCAGGAGGGGCAGCACCCACCCUCCUCUUUUUCCAGUUUGUUUUUUAUUGUGGUUAAAUAUACACAACGUAAAAUUUACCAUCUUAA
Long non-coding RNA from Pongo pygmaeus (Bornean orangutan), 8417 nucleotides. RefSeq lists it as uncharacterized. The record is from RefSeq and is a predicted model, not a curated record. The transcript has 21 exons. Lineage: Eukaryota; Metazoa; Chordata; Mammalia; Primates; Hominidae.